Molecule: long non-coding RNA, 487 nt
Organism: Alosa sapidissima (American shad)
Lineage: Eukaryota; Metazoa; Chordata; Actinopteri; Clupeiformes; Clupeidae
Exons: 2
Source: RefSeq, a predicted model, not a curated record
GCAGGGUUAAUUAUGCUUCCCUGAAUUCCCCCAUCGUUUCUACAAGUUCUAUUGUAGUUUCCCACGCCUCUGAGGUACAGUAGGUUGUAGGGGGGUGUGGCUUGGGUGUGGCAGGGGUCGGUUCCCACGCUGAAGACCCCUUAAGUGUUCAUGUAGCCCCCUCCUCUGCCUCUUUUGCUACUGUCCUGAGGCAGAGGAGCUGUGAUGCGACUGGCUCGCUCCCUGUCUGAUGUGUUUGUUUUGUCUUAUAUUUCAGGUAUGCCAUGUUUGUUUAAUGUACUUUUGUUAUUGUCUAUUCACAUGUACUUUUGUGGCAACGCUGUUAACUGCGUGUCUCGUAGUCUUGCCGCACGCCGCUCUUUUGCUACUGUCCUGAGGCAGAGGAGCUGUGAUGCGACUGGCUCGCUCCCUGUCUGAUGUGUUUGUUUUGUCUUAUAUUUCAGUAAAAGAGUCAAAGACCAGGUCGGUUGUGGCGUCUCUUAUUAUA